Pteronotus mesoamericanus is the source of this 129-nucleotide small nucleolar RNA. RefSeq annotates it as small nucleolar RNA SNORA38. The transcript has a single exon. The record is from RefSeq and is a predicted model, not a curated record. Lineage: Eukaryota; Metazoa; Chordata; Mammalia; Chiroptera; Mormoopidae.
UUCUCCUGCAAAGGUGUGUCUGUGGUUCCUUGUCUGAACACGUAAGAAUUGGAGGUAAAGAAAUGUGGACUUGGAGAAGUCUGGGGCCAGCUUGCUCCCUGCAGGCUCAGGAUCAACUGUCCUACAUAG